CCUACGGGUGGCAGCAGUAGGGAAUCUUUCACAAUGGGCGAAAGCCUGAUGGAGCAACGCCGCGUGCAGGAUGAAGGCCUUCGGGUUGUAAACUGCUUUUAUAAGCGAGAAAUAUGAUGGUAACUUAUGAAUAAGGAUCGGCUAACUACGUGCCAGCAGCCGCGGUCAUACGUAGGAUCCGAGCAUUAUCCGGAGUGACUGGGUGUAAAGAGUUGCGUAGGUGGCAUGAUAAGUAGCUAGUGAAAUCUGAUGGCUCAACCAUUCGGACUAUUAGCUAAACUGUUAAGCUCGAGACCGUUAGGGGUAACGGGAAUUUCUAGUGUAGGAGUGAAAUGCGUAGAUAUUAGGAGGAACACCAAUGGCGAAGGCAGGUUACUGGGACGGUACUGACGCUAAGGCACGAAAGCGUGGGGAGCAAACGGGAUUAGAUACCCGAGUAGUC
Molecule: ribosomal RNA, 442 nt
Filed under: uncultured bacterium
Lineage: Bacteria
Description: partial 16S ribosomal RNA
Rfam family: Bacterial small subunit ribosomal RNA
Source: RNAcentral